UACGUAGGUGGCAAGCGUUACUCGGAAUCACUAGGCGUAAAGCGCAGGUAGGCGGUUCGGAAAGUCCUUUGUGAAAGCUCCCGGCUUAACUGGGAGAGGCCAAGGGAAACUACCGGGCUAGAGUGUGGUAGAGGAAGCUGGAAUUCCCGGUGUAGCGGUGAAAUGCGUAGAUAUCGGGAGGAAUACCUAUGGCGAAAGCACGCUUCUGGGCCAUCACUGACGCUGAUCUGCGAAAGCUAGGGGAGCAAACAGG
RNAcentral lists this ribosomal RNA (253 nucleotides) under uncultured bacterium. RNAcentral describes it as "partial 16S ribosomal RNA". It matches the Rfam family "Bacterial small subunit ribosomal RNA", at positions 524 to 776 of the family's 1533-position model. The record is from RNAcentral.